Molecule: transfer RNA, 84 nt
Filed under: Eubacteriales bacterium
Lineage: Bacteria; Bacillati; Bacillota; Clostridia; Eubacteriales
Description: tRNA-Leu
Rfam family: tRNA
About the family: Transfer RNA (tRNA) molecules are approximately 80 nucleotides in length. Their secondary structure includes four short double-helical elements and three loops (D, anti-codon, and T loops).
Source: RNAcentral
GCGGGAGUGCUGGAAUUGGCAGACAGGCUAGACUAAGGAUCUAGUGGUCGCAAGGUCGUGUGGGUUCAAGUCCCAUCUCCCGCA